ACCUAGGGAGUGUCUUGUGGUCCGAGAAGGGUAGAUGAAAAGCAUGUCUAUCCUUAGUGACUUCCAAGUGGCUUGCUAUCUGCGAGAGCAAGUUACAAACAGUUUCUGGCUUAGAAAACUCUGUGCUGUGGAUGGCAAAGAUACCUGAUCUUGUUUCGAGUCAAGGAGCUGAGAAGCCAUCCGUGCUGCUCCUACCUUGCACAAGAGCUGUGACACUCACCGCGGUUGAAGCCAGCGGGGCCAAGAACCUCGGACUC
RNAcentral lists this long non-coding RNA (257 nucleotides) under Callithrix jacchus (white-tufted-ear marmoset). RNAcentral's name for it is "lncRNA (ENSCJAG00000086483.1)". Lineage: Eukaryota; Metazoa; Chordata; Mammalia; Primates; Cebidae. The record is from RNAcentral.